GUUUGGGGUGGACAGAUUUGAUGCUAUACUUCCUCCCGGGCAGGGUGCAAUAAUGGCUGUGGGAGCAUCAAAGCCCACUGCUGUGGCUGAUGCCGAUGGGUUCUUCUCUGUGAAGAGUAAAAUGCUGGUGAACGUCACAGCUGAUCACCGGAUUAUCUAUGGAGCGGACUUGGCUGCCUUCCUCCAGACAUUUGCAAAGAUAAUCGAGAAC
RNAcentral lists this unclassified non-coding RNA (211 nucleotides) under Hevea brasiliensis (rubber tree). The record is from RNAcentral. Lineage: Eukaryota; Viridiplantae; Streptophyta; Magnoliopsida; Malpighiales; Euphorbiaceae.